AGAACCGUGUGCUUUCCAUGGCAGAUUCUGGACUGCAGAGGGAGAUGAACUUCGGGAGGGAUGUGCUAGUGAGCGGCUCCAGAGAAGCCUGUGGAUUGUCUUAUGCAUUACCUCUGACUGACAUGCAUGCUUAGACAGCAGAAGCACUGCUGAACUACUACGCUCAAGGAAAACAUCUGCAGCAGACUCAGGUGAGGGGAACCAUUCUGGCAGGUUCAGCUUUGGCUUUAGCACU
RNAcentral lists this long non-coding RNA (235 nucleotides) under Dromaius novaehollandiae (emu). RNAcentral's name for it is "lncRNA (ENSDNVG00000001742.1)". The record is from RNAcentral. Lineage: Eukaryota; Metazoa; Chordata; Aves; Casuariiformes; Dromaiidae.